UACGGAGGAUCCAAGCGUUAUCCGGAAUCAUUGGGUUUAAAGGGUCCGUAGGCGGCCUUAUAAGUCAGCGGUGAAAGUUUGCAGCUUAACUGUAAAAUUGCCAUUGAUACUGUAGGGCUUGAAUUUUUGUGAAGUAACUAGAAUAUGUAGUGUAGCGGUGAAAUGCUUAGAUAUUACAUGGAGUACCAAUUGCGAAGGCAGGUUACUAACAAACGAUUGACGCUGAUGGACGAAAGCGUGGGUAGCGAACAGG
Molecule: ribosomal RNA, 253 nt
Filed under: uncultured Flavobacterium sp.
Lineage: Bacteria; Pseudomonadati; Bacteroidota; Flavobacteriia; Flavobacteriales; Flavobacteriaceae
Description: partial 16S ribosomal RNA
Rfam family: Bacterial small subunit ribosomal RNA
Source: RNAcentral